Molecule: long non-coding RNA, 242 nt
Filed under: Carica papaya (papaya)
Lineage: Eukaryota; Viridiplantae; Streptophyta; Magnoliopsida; Brassicales; Caricaceae
Description: long non-coding RNA (CPAP_LNC015795)
Source: RNAcentral
UUCUUGGGGUAUUUUUGAAAAAAAAUAUGAAAACUGGGGAUUAAAACGUAAUUUAAAAAAAUUGUACCACGUCAGCUGCCCGGUCAGCAGCCCCGACCAACCAGAACGCGCCGCGUGGCAGAGACACUGACGCGGGAGGCGACGCGGAAGGGAGUCACGUGGGUGAUCCGCGUGCGUGUGAUCGAACGGCUGAGAUCCGUUCCCGCGCGCACGGAUGACCUAGAUCAAAAGUGCGCACGGAC